CCUUUACAGAGUCCUGAAAAUCAGGCUUAUCCUAGAACAUAAGGAAAACAAAACUGCUGUUAUGGAAAUUCACUUUAGUAUCUAAGGAGGUUAAAAAGACCCAAAAAAUGCUGAGUUGUGCUCAAAGGAUCAGUAAGAUAAGCAUCAGCAGCAUCACCUUUUGUGAAGUCAAACUUACGCCUGCUGUUUGGUGAAGAAAAUUCUAGGAGGAAUUGCACCAAAAUGCAAACUGAAAUUCUCUCACAUGCUCCUGCUGAGUUUUGAGUGCACCUGAACUGCUAACCAUGACAGCUGCUUGGUUCCACCAAGUGAGAAUUGUGGUCUCAACAAUGCAGUGAAGGACAUCACACUGUGUUUACACAUGGAACAUUUAGAAAGAAACUACGAGGUGAAGUUCAGAAGAAGCUGGGAGCUUGAGGAUGGUAGCAAGCCUCGACAAACUUGAUCACCUA
Melospiza melodia melodia is the source of this 452-nucleotide long non-coding RNA. RefSeq lists it as uncharacterized. The transcript has 4 exons. The record is from RefSeq and is a predicted model, not a curated record. NCBI's taxonomy places the organism in Eukaryota, Metazoa, Chordata, Aves, Passeriformes, Passerellidae.